UCCUGGCUCUAGCUUUAGCUUUUGGGU
This 27-nucleotide non-coding RNA is filed under the name Homo sapiens (human). The record is from RNAcentral. Lineage: Eukaryota; Metazoa; Chordata; Mammalia; Primates; Hominidae.